RNAcentral lists this ribosomal RNA (468 nucleotides) under uncultured bacterium. RNAcentral's name for it is "partial 16S ribosomal RNA". It matches the Rfam family "Bacterial small subunit ribosomal RNA", at positions 28 to 507 of the family's 1533-position model. The record is from RNAcentral.
GACGAACGCUGGCGGCGUGCUUAACACAUGCCAGUCGAACGGAAAGGCCCUGCUUUUGUGGGGUGCUCGAGUGGCGAACGGGUGAGUAACACGUUAGUAACCUGCCCUUGACUUUGGGAUAACUUCAGGAAACUGGGGCUAAUACCGGAUAUGAGCUCCUGCUGCAUGGUGGGGGUUGGAAAGUUUCGGCGGUUGGGGAUGGACUCGCGGCUUAUCAGCUUGUUGGUGGGGUAGUGGCUUACCAAGGCUUUGACGGGUAGCCGGCCUGAGAGGGUGACCGGCCACAUUGGGACUGAGAUACGGCCCAGACUCCUACGGGAGGCAGCAGUGGGGAAUAUUGCACAAUGGGCGGAAGCCUGAUGCAGCAACGCCGCGUGCGGGAUGACGGCCUUCGGGUUGUAAACCGCUUUCGCCUGUGACGAAGCGUGAGUGACGGUAAUGGGUAAAGAAGCACCGGCUAACUACGUG